GUCUACAGCCUUAUCGCCCUAAAUGCACCCAAUCUCAUCUGAUCUCAAAAGCUAAACAGGGUCAGGCCUGGUUAGUACUUGGAUGGAAGAAAAAUCUUCAGAGAAGACUGCUCAGCAGCAAGCA
RNAcentral lists this ribosomal RNA (124 nucleotides) under Castor canadensis (American beaver). Lineage: Eukaryota; Metazoa; Chordata; Mammalia; Rodentia; Castoridae. The record is from RNAcentral.